Molecule: long non-coding RNA, 595 nt
Organism: Notothenia coriiceps (black rockcod)
Lineage: Eukaryota; Metazoa; Chordata; Actinopteri; Perciformes; Nototheniidae
Exons: 3
Source: RefSeq, a predicted model, not a curated record
AAGUCUUUUUGGAUAAAAGCGUCUAACAAAUGACAUGUAAUGUAGUCACUUGUUUGCCACCUCUGUUUUUAUGACAUGUAGAAUUUUCAGACAUUCACCAGAGAUAUUUACUGAUGUAUUUUAUGUUGUAAAACAAAACUUCCAAAUCUCUUCAGCUUGCGGCAUCUAACAAAAACAGGUUAAACAGGCUGUUGUCUUCAGGAAAAGGGAACAGGGAGGUCCUGCACCGCUCUACAGUAGUUAUCUAACCUUGUUUAUUGUUUCAAGGACUGGCAGAGUUGGCCUCUCGAAAAUAUAAACCAGCUGCCAAGUGCUUCCUGCAGGCUUCCUUUGACCACUGUGACUGUCCUGAGGUGAGUGAUCUCCUGUCCCCCAGUAAUGUAGCUGUGUAUGGAGGCAUGUGUGCUUUGGCCACAUUUGACAGACAGGAGCUCCAGCGUAACGUCAUCUCCAGCAGCUCCUUUAAGUUAUUUCUAGAGUUGGAACCUCAGAUCCGGGACAUCAUCUUCAAGUUCUAUGAGUCCAAGUAUGCAUCCUGUCUCAAGCUGCUGGACGAAAUGAAGGUGAGCAGGAAACUAAUCUGAGGCGUCACACA